GUUCAUGUGGAGCUAGACUCCCAGGUAGUGGAGGAGAUGCCCACUACUAGUAAUAGGGUACAGGUGGGGCUAGUCUCCCAGGUAGUGGAGGAGAUGCCCACUACUAGUAAUAGGGUUCAGGUGGGGCUAGUCUCUCAGGUAGUGGAGGAGAUGCCCACUACGACUAAUAGGGUUCAGGUGGGGCUAGUCUCCCAGGUAGUGGAGGAGAUGCCCACUACUAGUAAUAGGGUUCAGGUGGGGCUAGUCUCCCAGGUAGUGGAGGAGAUGCCCACUAUUAGUAAUGGGGUUCAGGUAGAGCUAGUCUCCCAGGUAGUGGAGGAGAUGCCCACUACUAGUAAUAGGGUUCAGGUGGGGCUAGUCUCCCAGGUAGUGGAGGAGAUGCCUGGUACGAGUGAUGGGCUGCAAGUGGGGAGUGAUGAAAGGG
Molecule: long non-coding RNA, 424 nt
Filed under: Salmo salar (Atlantic salmon)
Lineage: Eukaryota; Metazoa; Chordata; Actinopteri; Salmoniformes; Salmonidae
Description: lncRNA (ENSSSAG00000108076.1)
Source: RNAcentral